CAGUCGCCGCGGUAAUACGAAGGGUGCAAGCGUUAAUCGGAAUUACUGGGCGUAAAGCGUGCGUAGGCGGUGAGUUAAGUCUGCUGUGAAAUCCCCGGGCUCAACCUGGGAAUGGCAGUGGAUACUGGCUCGCUAGAGUGUGUCAGAGGAUGGUGGAAUUCCCGGUGUAGCGGUGAAAUGCGUAGAGAUCGGGAGGAACAUCAGUGGCGAAGGCGGCCAUCUGGGACAACACUGACGCUGAGGCACGAAAGCGUGGGGAGCAAACAGGAUUAGAUACCCCUGUAGUCCCUGUCUCUAUACA
RNAcentral lists this ribosomal RNA (301 nucleotides) under uncultured bacterium. RNAcentral describes it as "partial 16S ribosomal RNA". It matches the Rfam family "Bacterial small subunit ribosomal RNA", at positions 509 to 808 of the family's 1533-position model. The record is from RNAcentral.